Molecule: unclassified non-coding RNA, 206 nt
Filed under: plant metagenome
Description: partial contains small subunit ribosomal RNA, internal transcribed spacer 1, and 5.8S ribosomal RNA
Source: RNAcentral
UUUCCGUAGGUGAACCUGCGGAAGGAUCAUUCAUAAUAAGUGUUUUAUGGCACUUUUUAAAACAAUCUCCACCUGUUUUGCAAUGUCAGUGGUUCUCUUCUAUGGGAACGACAAAAUAACAACACUUUUUUUAUGUCUUUCUGUCAAAAAUAUUACAAAUAAAAUAAUUCAAAAUACAACUUUCAACAACGGAUCUCUUGGCUCUC